UACGGAGGGGACUAGCGUUGUUCGGAAUUACUGGGCGUAAAGCGCACGUAGGCGGAUUUGUAAGUCAGGGGUGAAAUCCCGGGGCUCAACCUCGGAACUGCCUUUGAUACUGCAAAUCUCGAGUCCGGAAGAGGUGAGUGGAAUUCCUAGUGUAGAGGUGAAAUUCGUAGAUAUCGGAAGGAACAUCAGUGGCGAAAGCGACUUCCUGGACCAGUACCGACGUUCAGGCACGAAAGCGUGGGGAGCAAACAGG
This 253-nucleotide ribosomal RNA is filed under the name uncultured bacterium. RNAcentral's name for it is "partial 16S ribosomal RNA". It matches the Rfam family "Bacterial small subunit ribosomal RNA", at positions 524 to 776 of the family's 1533-position model. The record is from RNAcentral.